GGGCGGGCGGAGGAGAAGUCCCGGGACCCCCCGACCCGCUCCCGAGUUCCAAAAUGACCUUUCCCCGCAUCGUUUCGGAGGUAACCGAGCUGCGUAAUUAUAUUUGCACUUCCAGAAGACUGCAUCAGAGUCCCCUUAUUGGUUUGAAAUUCCAUUAAAUAUAUUGCAAGAGCUCCUAGGUUAAGCUUGAUUUAAAUUUGCAUACAUUUUCAUAUAUUUAGCAGAAAUAAAAGAAGGCUUGCAGCUACCAGAAAGUCAUUAAGGCAUUAGUUUCUCUGAGAAGACAGAUCUGAAGAAAAUUCAAGAAAAUGAGAAAAUAGAUCUAAAUAAGGUGGAGUUGAAUACAAUGUGAUUAACUACAAGCAAUAUGUUGUGAAGAUGAUGGUAUUCAGACACAUACCCAAACAAUUUGAUUCAGAUAAAUUGGAUACAAGACUUUGACCAGCAUGAGAAGAACAGUGUCUUUCAGAUGAAGAAAGUGAAAUCCUUUUCUGCCCCUGGUGCCUGAGUAAAUUGAUAUCAAAUACUCGAAUGAAAAGACAACUCUUGUCAGCAGAGGCAAGCAACAGGAAAAUCUGGGACAGGAGGUGGCUGAAGUGCUCCAAAGGGAAAAGUUUGAAGAUGGGAACCCCCUCCGGGACUCUCCGUACCCAUGAAGCUGCCAGGGGGGAGAGGAGCUCCAGCUCCAGGGAUACCCAAGGCAGUGUGCAAGCAGGGAGCAUCCCAGACCCGUGGAGGAGCUCAGCAGGAGAAGAAUCAGUGGGGGAAAAUAGUCCUAAUGCUGUGUUGCUGCUGGUGGGUCAGGCAGUUUGAACAGAGGUCUGCGGUGCUCCAGCUCGUUGGGAACUUUUGUGCUCAGACCAGGAGGAUGCUACAGAUGGAGCUGAUCUGUGAAUUUCAAAUCUGUGCCUCCACCAGUGUUGACACGGUGCAAUGAUGCAGCCGAGCUCUCAGAUGUCUGGCUCGAAGAGUUGUGAAAUGAUCAAGCAGACAAACCCAACCAUUUCAGCCUUGUCAAUCUAGUUCUCAGUGGACAGAUGCCCUGGUGCUGGAAAAGCAGCAUGCCCUGCAACACCUCUUGGUAGUGUGGAAAAAGAGCCAGAGAUGUCCUAGACAUGAAGUACGACCGGAUUCUCAGCUCAAAAAAUCAGGCUAAGAAUUUGCCAAGGGCAUCAACAGCAGUUUUCCCAGGCUUCAGCACAAGGAUUAUAUAGUCAAUCCACAAAUGACUCCAAUCUUUGAAGAAAAGGACAUGGUUAUCAGAGAGGCUUUGACGACAGCAAGGACUGGAGCACAAUCUGCCUUUUUCCAUCAGAGGUUCCCAUUCCCUCUCAUUAACAUACUCAGGACAUCAGCACAGCCAUCAGUCCCAGGGGAAUCACCUCAAACUUUCCAGGGAAUAUGCACAAGACCUGGCCCUGUGUUAUUUCAAACAGAUCAAACCAGAUGUGCCUUGUGAAAGGUUUGGAGAAAGGCUGGGGCACAGCAGCAUUAGGGGAGGGAUUCACAGGUUGCAGAGAAUUUUCAAAUACAUUGUUAUAUCUUGGUAAUCUUUCUUAUUUUCCAGGGUUUUUCAAUCCCACUGAGGAUGCAGAGCUGCUCUGUGAUAUCUGCUGCUGCUGUAAGUGUGAAAGGAGGUGCCUCUACCUGCUCCUUCCCAGCGCCCUGUGAUGAAAAAUGCCUUUGGAGGAACACUGGAAACAAGCCAUCAAAAUAUCUGAUUAAACCUCUUAGGAAACUCUCACUAAUCACCUUCUCUGCUCUUGAUGGAGUGUAUUUAUGCAUUAUAAAUAUACUUACUAUGUGUGUGUGCUCCAUAAAUCACAUCCAGCACUUGUAUGUGAUGUAUAAGCACAUUCUAUAGAACACACACAAAUACAGAUGCCAAACUCCCACAGAGUUCAUCACUGGAAAAAUGUUUGAAGGAUCUGAUCCUUAAUAUUUAAUGAGCAAGAUGCUAUUUCCUUCCUCAGCUUUUAUCUCUGGUUUGGCAUAGUCAUUAAAUUCGUUGUUUCCUUGCAGGAUUAUAUAAUUUAUGACCUAAUUUUAGACUUUUGUGUAACCGCGUUAAAACACUCGUGGCAGAUCCGGAUUUCUCUGCACAGAGCGUUCCAGCAUCAGACACCAGCUCAAACAUGACUCCUGUGAGCUGCCCAUCAGCAAGGAGUUAGAGGCAUUAAAAGCAAACAGCCCAACAAUAUUCAGACAGCAUUACAGGAUUAGACGGUGGGGUUUUUUUCCCUGUAAAAAUCUGAUUUAGCAGCACUUCCCAAGCCAUGCGCAGUGGCUGCCAGGAAUCCCCAGGAAACAAUUCUCCCCCUUUUAGAGGGGAUAAAGUGCAAUGGGAAUAGGACUGUUCAGUGGAGAAUUCCGUGUGGCAGAAGGAUGGGCAGCAUGGAGAUUUCCGAGAUGGUUUGGACAUCACUUCCACCAAGAAGAAGAAAUAUUAUACCAAAGUUGCUCAUCAAAACUGAGACCUCAUAUGGAUUAUUUAUUGGAAAGUCCAGAAAACAACCACUGAGUUUUUUCCCAGAGCAGAGAUCUUGUGUUAGAGCAGAGAUCUUGUGUUAGAGCAGACAAUGUUAAAAUAACCAAGCCCCAGAAGAGACUAAAAGGAAAACCCUGAAAUUAGAGCAGAGAGAAAUUAUCAAAAUUUGUAAAAGUGAUUUGAUGAAGCCUUGUUUGUGUUCAAAAUCUGUGCUUGUUUUGAAAUCCAAAGAACUACUGUUAGUUACAUUAUUUGGCCAGAGGAACUUUAUAGCCAGGAAACACCCAACACCUGUAUCCCACUUUCAAAAAUACAGUUUAUACCAUUCUGAAAUCCCAAAAGAUAGUGAAAACCCCUGGAUUUGUGAGGCUUGGGAUUAUUGGAAUUAGACACAAGCAGCUGGGCUUUCCCCAGGAUGAUAUUUUGGAAUAUUUGAAUAACAGAAUUUCUGGCCCAGGUGUUUGGGGGAUGUGUGUGAUGUGGGCACAGGAGCACUGUUGAGGUGGACUUGUGAUGUCACUGUGAUUCCUGGACAUCCUUUGGCACCCAAGUGACUUCAGAAGGGCUGGAAUUUCAUCCCAGGCCAGGAGCAGCUGAUGGAGGUGAGGUGGAGCACUUUCAGUGAUGUAGAACUGAAAAAAUUCUUUGUCAUAUAACUGAUCCCAUCAGCAGUCCAGGGUACCCAAAUUUCACUUUGAAUUUUCUCCUGAGUUUCCAUUUACAUCAGUAAUAUAUAGAUAAUAUGUUAAGGUGUUAUCCUUAAAAAAAGGAAAGAAAUAAUUUCUUUAUGAUAGGGGCAAUUUGUAGAAGACAUUUGUGUAAUUUUGCAUUCUAAAUGUGAUUUAUAUUUAUAAAUAAA
Molecule: long non-coding RNA, 3347 nt
Organism: Neopelma chrysocephalum (saffron-crested tyrant-manakin)
Lineage: Eukaryota; Metazoa; Chordata; Aves; Passeriformes; Pipridae
Exons: 9
Source: RefSeq, a predicted model, not a curated record